RNAcentral lists this ribosomal RNA (495 nucleotides) under uncultured bacterium. Its description in RNAcentral is "bacterial SSU rRNA". It matches the Rfam family "Bacterial small subunit ribosomal RNA", at positions 34 to 507 of the family's 1533-position model. The record is from RNAcentral.
CGCUGGCGGCGUGCCUAAUACAUGCAAGUCGAGCGGAAUGAUGAAGAAGCUUGCUUCUUCUGAUUUUAGCGGCGGACGGGUGAGUAACACGUGGGCAACCUACCUUGUAGAUUGGGAUAACUCCGGGAAACCGGGGCUAAUACCGAAUAAUCCAUUUUUGCUUCAUGGCGAGAUGUUAAAAGGCGGCUUCGGCUGUCACUACGAGAUGGGCCCGCGGCGCAUUAGCUAGUUGGUAGGGUAAUGGCCUACCAAGGCGACGAUGCGUAGCCGACCUGAGAGGGUGAUCGGCCACACUGGGACUGAGACACGGCCCAGACUCCUACGGGAGGCAGCAGUAGGGAAUCUUCCACAAUGGACGAAAGUCUGAUGGAGCAACGCCGCGUGAGUGAAGAAGGUUUUCGGAUCGUAAAACUCUGUUGUAAGGGAAGAACACGUACGAGAGUAACUGCUCGUACCUUGACGGUACCUUAUUAGAAAGCCACGGCUAACUACGUG